UACGUAGGGUGCAAGCGUUAAUCGGAAUUACUGGGCGUAAAGCGUGCGCAGGCGGCUUUGCAAGACAGAUGUGAAAUCCCCGGGCUAACCUGGGAACUGCAUUUGUGACUGCAUGGCUGGAGUGCGGCAGAGGGGGAUGGAAUUCCGCGUGUAGCAGUGAAAUGCGUAGAUAUGCGGAGGAACACCGAUGGCGAAGGCAUCCCCUGGGCCUGCACUGACGCUCAUGCACGAAAGCGUGGGGAGCAAACAGG
RNAcentral lists this ribosomal RNA (251 nucleotides) under uncultured bacterium. RNAcentral's name for it is "partial 16S ribosomal RNA". It matches the Rfam family "Bacterial small subunit ribosomal RNA", at positions 524 to 776 of the family's 1533-position model. The record is from RNAcentral.